This 1420-nucleotide long non-coding RNA is filed under the name Rattus norvegicus (Norway rat). RNAcentral's name for it is "long non-coding RNA NONRATT013193". The record is from RNAcentral. Lineage: Eukaryota; Metazoa; Chordata; Mammalia; Rodentia; Muridae.
AGGCUCUUUAGAUUUUUAUUAUUAUUGUUAUUAAUGUAGACUUUGUAGAUUAUUAUUACUAUUAUUAUUAUUGUUAUUAUUAUUCCACACCCCGUCCCGUAAGUUUUCUAUCACGGAUUCACAGAGAGGCCGUCAUAGCAGGAGUAAUAUCCACGCACACAGAGCCACAGGCAGAAUAAGUGAUUCGCAGUGUUGGCAGCCAUUGCUGUGCAGCCAUUGAGACCUCAGCACUGUUCUCUGUCCCUGGCCCCCUCCGUGCAUUUAAUUCCCAGGUGUUGGAACCCGCCUCGUGCUGGGCCCUUUGACGUAGUUUCCCGUGUUGUAGCGACCCCGGACAUGAAAUAAAAUAAUUAAAGUAAAAGAAAUAAAAUAAAAUAAAUAGAAUAUAUAAAAUAGAAUAAAUAAAAUAAAUUUUAAAAAUAAAAUAAAAGUAAAAUUAAUUAAAUAAAAUAAGUGAAACAAAGUAAAUAAAAUUAAUAAAAUAAAAUAAAAUUAGACAUAAAAUUGUUUCGCGGCGACUUCAGAGUAGAAUAAAACAAAUAAUAUAAAGUUUAUUCGGCUUUUUUAAUCUCCUUACCCUCGGGAGUGGAGUUUUCAUCAUUUUUUCCUUUGCCCACUGACGACUUAGAAAUCACCUGCUUAAUGUUACGUACGUUUUACUUUAUUUAUCCUAUAUGAACGCCGUCUUCACACGCGGCAGGGCGUCAGAUCCCAUGGCAGACGACGGCUAGCAGCCACCGUGCGGUCGCUGGGAUUUGACUCGGGACCCCUGGGAGAGAGUGGUCGCUGCUCUAACCACUGAGCAACCCCUCCAGCCCCUCUUUCAAUUUCUUGGGGUUUGGUUUGGUUUUGGUUUUGGUUUUGGUUUUUUUUGCUGUAAAUCAACCCAUUUUACUGCUACAUCCACUUCAGCAGGGCCACACCCACUCCAGCUGGCCACACCCACUGCAACAGGGCCACACUAUGACAGAGCCAUGCCCACUCCAACACCAUUCCAACAGGGCCAUAGCCGGCAGGGCUAUGUCGCAGUCCUCACAGCCACUUGUCUUCAUUUUCCAUAGGGGACCCCGACAGGAAGCGCGAGGCCCUGGACCUCGCGGAAUUCACGCGGAGGCAACCAUGGUGGCGUAAGCUGUUCGGGCCAGAGUCUGGGCCCUCGGCUGAGAAGUACAGCGCGGCGACGCAGCUGGCCGUCGGGGGUGUCACUGGAUGGUGCACGGGGCUCGUGUUCCGGAAGGUCGGAAAGCUGGCAGCCACGGCCCUAGGAGGAGGGUUCUUCCUCCUGCAGCUGGCAAGCCACACGGGGUACAUCAGAGUCGACUGGCAGAGACUGGAAAAAGACGUAAAGAAAGCCAAGGCGCAGCUGAAGAUCCAUAGGGGUCGGCAAAUGCCCACUGAGGUCGGGAGCAAAGCCGAGGAG